Molecule: ribosomal RNA, 836 nt
Filed under: uncultured Bacillota bacterium
Lineage: Bacteria; Bacillati; Bacillota
Description: bacterial SSU rRNA
Rfam family: Bacterial small subunit ribosomal RNA
Source: RNAcentral
GAACGCUGGCGGCGUGCCUAAUACAUGCAAGUCGAACCAAUCUCUUUUAGAGAUGCGUGGCGAACGGGUGAGUAAUACAUAGGUAACCUGCCCCUAUGCGGGGGAUAACAGGAGGAAACUCCUGCUAAUACCGCAUAGCCAUGAGCACCGCAUGGAGCUCAUGCCGAAUAUCCUUUAUGGGACAGCGCAGGGAUGGACCUAUGGCGCAUUAGCUUGUUGGCGGGGCAACGGCCCACCAAGGCAACGAUGCGUAGCCGGCCUGAGAGGGCGGACGGCCACAUUGGGACUGAGACACGGCCCAGACUCCUACGGGAGGCAGCAGUAGGGAAUUUUCGGCAAUGGGGGAAACCCUGACCGAGCAACGCCGCGUGAGCGAAGAAGGCCUUCGGGUCAUAAAGCUCUGUUGCAAAGGAAGAACGGCGCAUACAGGAAAUGGUAUGCGAGUGACGGUACUUUACCAGAAAGCCACGGCUAACUACGUGCCAGCAGCCGCGGUAAUACGUAGGUGGCGAGCGUUAUCCGGAAUCACUGGGCGUAAAGAGGGAGCAGGCGGCCGCAAGGGUCUGUGGUGAAAGAUCGAAGCUAAACUUCGGUAAGCCAUGGAAACCGGGCGGCUAGAGUGCGGAAGAGGAUCGUGGAAUUCCAUGUGUAGCGGUGAAAUGCGUAGAUAAAUGGAGGAACACCAGUGGCGAAGGCGACGGUCUGGGCCGCAACUGACGCUCAUUCCCGAAAGCGUGGGGAGCAAAUAGGAUUAGAUACCCUAGUAGUCCACGCCGUAAACGAUGGUCACUAAGUGUCGGGGGUCAAACCCCGGUGCUGCAGUCAACGCAAUAAGU